CUAAGUUUGAUGGCGACCGGCGCACGGGUGAGUAACACGUAUCCAACCUGCCGAUGACUCGGGGAUAGCCUUUCGAAAGAAAGAUUAAUACCCGAUGGCAUAGUUCUUCCGCAUGGUAGAACUAUUAAAGAAUUUCGGUCAUCGAUGGGGAUGCGUUCCAUUAGGUUGUUGGCGGGGUAACGGCCCACCAAGCCUUCGAUGGAUAGGGGUUCUGAGAGGAAGGUCCCCCACCAUUGGAACUGAGACACGGUCCAAACUCCUACGGGAGCAGCAUG
RNAcentral lists this ribosomal RNA (275 nucleotides) under uncultured bacterium. RNAcentral describes it as "partial 16S ribosomal RNA". It matches the Rfam family "Bacterial small subunit ribosomal RNA", at positions 79 to 353 of the family's 1533-position model. The record is from RNAcentral.